RNAcentral lists this ribosomal RNA (475 nucleotides) under uncultured archaeon. RNAcentral describes it as "bacterial SSU rRNA". It matches the Rfam family "Archaeal small subunit ribosomal RNA", at positions 7 to 458 of the family's 1478-position model. The record is from RNAcentral.
GUUGAUCCUGCCGGACCCGACUGCUAUCGGAUUGAGAUUUAGCCAUGCGAGUCGAACGUCCCCCUGUUGCGGGGGGCGUGGCGUACGGCUCAGUAACACGUAGUCAACCUGCCCUGGAGACAUGGACAACCCCGGGAAACUGGGAUUAAUCCGUGAUAGGUCAUCUCAUCUGGAAGGAGAGAUGGCUUAAAGGGGUGCGCGGGCUUCUUCCGUGCAUUCGCUCCAGGAUGGGACUGCGUCCGAUCAGGCUGUUGGCGGGGUAAUGGCCCACCAAACCUGUAACCGGUACGGGCCUUGAGAGAGGUGGCCCGGAGAUGGACACUGAGAGAAGGGUCCAGGUCCUACGGGGCGCAGCAGGCGCGAAACCUUCGCAAUGCGCGAAAGCGUGACGAGGUUAAUCCGAGUGGCCCCCGCUGAGGGGGUCUUUUGUCAGCUGUAAAUAGGCAGGCGAAUAAGGGGAGGGCAAGCCUGGUGU